Molecule: ribosomal RNA, 1173 nt
Filed under: Mycoplasma haemocanis
Lineage: Bacteria; Bacillati; Mycoplasmatota; Mollicutes; Mycoplasmatales; Mycoplasmataceae
Description: bacterial SSU rRNA
Rfam family: Bacterial small subunit ribosomal RNA
Source: RNAcentral
CCAAGGUUAGUGGCAAACGGGUGAGUAAUACAUAUCUAACAUGCCCCUCUGUGGGGGAUAGCCACUUGAAAAAGUGAUUAAUACCCCAUAGGAAGUUUUAUCCAUGAUUUAGCUUUUAAAGCCUUCGGGCGCUGAGGGAUUGGGAUAUGCUCUAUUAGCUAGUUGGCGGGAUAAAAGCCCACCAAGGCAAUGAUAGAUAGCUGGUCUUAGAGGAUGAACAGCCACAAUGGGAUUGAGAUACGGCCCAUAUUCCUACGGGAAGCAGCAGUAGGGAAUCUUCCACAAUGGACGAAAGUCUGAUGGAGCAAUACCAUGUGAACGAUGAAGGCCUUUUUGGUUGUAAAGUUCUUUUACGAGGGAUAAUUAUGAUAGUACUUCGUGAAUAAGUGACAGCAAACUAUGUGCCAGCAGCUGCGGUAAUACAUAGGUCGCAAGCAUUAUUCGGAUUUAUUGGGCGUAAAGCAAGCGCAGGCGGAUGUGUAAGUUCUGUGUUAAAUGCAGCUACUCAAUAGUUGUAUGCACCGAAUACUACAUGUCUAGAUUGUGGUAGGGAGUUUCGGAAUUAAGCAUGGAGCGGUGGAAUGUGUAGAUAUGCUUAAGAACACCAGAGGCGAAGGCGGAAACUUAGGCCAUAAAUGACGCUUAGGCUUGAAAGUGUGGGGAGCAAAUGGGAUUAGAUACCCCAGUAGUCCACACCGUAAACGAUGGGUAUUAGAUAUUAGGGCUUUAGCUUUAGUGUUGUAGCUUACGCGUUAAAUACCCCGCCUGGGUAGUACAUAUGCAAAUAUGAAACUCAAAGGAAUUGACGGGGACCUGAACAAGUGGUGGAGCAUGUUGCUUAAUUCGAUAAUACACGAAAAACCUUACCAAGGUUUGACAUCCCUCGCAAAGCUAUAGAAAUAUAGUAGAGGUUAUCGAGGUGACAGGUGGUGCAUGGCUGUCGUCAGCUCGUGUCUUGAGAUGUUUGGUUAAGUCCCGCAACGAGCGCAACCCCACUCUUUAGUUACUUGUCUAAAGAGACUGCACAGUAAUGUAGAGGAAGGAUGGGAUCACGUCAAGUCAUCAUGCCCCUUAUGCCUUGGGCUGCAAACGUGCUACAAUGGCGAACACAAUGUGUUGCAAACCAGCGAUGGUAAGCUAAUCACCAAAUUUCGUCUCAGUUCGGAUAGGAGG